This is a long non-coding RNA of Aquila chrysaetos chrysaetos, 1650 nucleotides long. RefSeq lists it as uncharacterized. Lineage: Eukaryota; Metazoa; Chordata; Aves; Accipitriformes; Accipitridae. The record is from RefSeq and is a predicted model, not a curated record. The transcript is spliced from 3 exons.
GCUCCCUCCCACCGCCGCCGCCGCCGCCCCGGCCUUGCCCGCCUCCUUUAUACGGACGGAGGCGCCCGAGGUUGGGGGGCCGCCGGGCCCGCCUUUCCCUCCCCUGCGCCGUGGGGCGAAGGGGGUCCCGCGGCUGGGCUGAGGCUCAUCGGUUGAGGAGAACGCGUUGCAUCCCCCAGUGACUUCCUAGGUCUCACAUAGACUGAGAAGGAAGAGGCUGAUGAAGAAGAGAACGUCGACGAAGGAGGAGAAUGGCCCACGGGACCUAGGUCCCAACCAGUCGUUCAGUGGAACAAAACCUUGGGCUUUGUUCUGAAGAAAUACGAGCUGCUAGGUGAAGAUGAUAGUUGGACUGACUUCUCCACUGAGAUUUAUAAACCUCUCUUAUGAAGCAUUUAUAUGAAACACUUCAUAAUCCACCAAUCCUGCCAUUCACUAGAAUCGGAGAGAGGGAUUUUUCCUCUAGGUGAAGGCAGCCAAAGACAUUCCACACAUCUGCCAUCAACACGUGUGUAUGUGCAAUCUCCACAGUGGAGGUAACAAGAAUAAUUUUGUUUCGUGCAGUUCUUAAUAACCUAUAGUCAUUCUUCAUUACUUGAGGGUCUUAAGUAUAUUACCUCAACUGGUAUGAAACUCAUGUUUCACAAUGGCCUCUGCUAGCAUUCCUCUUCUGGUUAAUACCUGAUAAACACAGCACAUUGCUCUCCUAGCUUUCUGCUGGCAUUUGGAUUUAAACAAAGCAAAACUCAAUAAACCUUACACAUUUCCACUCGGUUUCACACAUUAGUUUCAUAUGUUUCAAUACAUGAUAAAGAUUCAGAUUCACUCAAAAUGUCCAUGUAUUUGGAUUGGUUUGAGUUUAAACUGAAACAUCAAAUGAGACAAAUUUUGCAUGGCCUCAGGUUUUUUUUUACUGCAAAUGCUAUAUGCAGCUUGAUUCUGCCUGCUGGGUACCGUGAGCAGUAAUUAGUUAUUUUUUUGAAAAUGCCCGGAAGAUGUAAUGCAAGAACAUUCGCUAACUUUGGGACCUUAGGGAAUGCAUUUUGCCCUUUAUCAGUUUCAUAGCUUGUGUUCACUAACUAUAAUACCAUGACAAUACACUAUUCAUCUUGCUGUGCAGUUUUAAGAUCUUUGGGUGGAUUCUGUCAUCUCAGCCCAGAAUUUCACAAGUGAGUAGAAGGAUGUAUGCUGACCAGUGUGCAGAUUCUUUGGGGGACAGAGCAGACAAUGCCUUUUUUUUUUGAGUAGCUAGUCGAUAUUUUGAAUCUUUCCUUGAAACCGUGGCCCUCAAAUCUUUCUACUCCAUAUUUUUCAAACUUAGAACAAAAAUGUUAAUUGUUUCUCUUGGGGUGCUUUUGCUGAGAUUUAUCAGUGUUGUAUUGAUGGAAAAAUUACUUAUCCACUUAUUUUGCUCAACGCUUUUCUUUCGAAUAGCAUAGUGGGAACAGUGUUCACUGUUACUGAUGGCAGAACAGCACUCAGUGGUUAAACUUGUCAGCCAACUGAAGCCAGGGAAUCCAAGCCAGCAUUCCCCUUUACAUACAUUUUAUCUUGUGUUCCUCCAUUAGUAACAAUUUGUCACAUGUUUAUCAUGCAGUCUUUAAUUGGUUUAUUAUUUUAUCCAUAUGCCAAGUACAUUCUCAAGCUCCA